GCCAGUGUGGCUCAGUGGUUGAGCAUUGACCUAUGAAUUAGGAGGUCCCAGGUUCAAUUCCUGGUCAGGGCA
RNAcentral lists this transfer RNA (72 nucleotides) under Myotis myotis. It matches the Rfam family "tRNA". From Rfam's summary of the family: Transfer RNA (tRNA) molecules are approximately 80 nucleotides in length. Their secondary structure includes four short double-helical elements and three loops (D, anti-codon, and T loops). The record is from Rfam by way of RNAcentral. RNAcentral also lists the same sequence under 1 other name. Lineage: Eukaryota; Metazoa; Chordata; Mammalia; Chiroptera; Vespertilionidae.